Molecule: ribosomal RNA, 373 nt
Filed under: uncultured organism
Description: bacterial SSU rRNA
Rfam family: Bacterial small subunit ribosomal RNA
Source: RNAcentral
CGGAGGGUGCAAGCAUUGAUCGGAAUUACUGGGCGUAAAGGGCGCGUAGGCGGCUUUUCAAGUUAGAUGUGAAAUUCCGGGGCUCAACCCCGGAGCUGCAUUUAAAACUAAAGAGCUAGUGGCUAGUAAGGGAAAACAGAAUUCCACGUGUAGCGGUGAAAUGCGUAGAUAUGUGGAAGAAUACCGGUGGUGAAGACGGUUUUCUGUGCUAAGCCAGACGCUGAGGCGCGAAAGCUAGGGGAGCAAACAGGAUUAGAUACCCUGGUAGUCCUAGCCGUAAACGAUGUAUACUGGAUGUAGGAAGGCUCAACCCUUUCUGUAUCGGAGCUAACGCGUUAAGUAUACCGCCUGGGGAGUACGGCUCGCAAGGGUG